Molecule: long non-coding RNA, 1759 nt
Organism: Mangifera indica (mango)
Lineage: Eukaryota; Viridiplantae; Streptophyta; Magnoliopsida; Sapindales; Anacardiaceae
Exons: 5
Source: RefSeq, a predicted model, not a curated record
UUAAAAGCAGUGAAACAAAUCCAGUCCAAAAGUCCCAACAAUUUAUGCAAAAGCCAAAACGACGCCGUAAACUGACGAAGAAGAACAGCUACAAGUCCAGUCGAAACCUCAGUGAAGAUCAAUUGCCCAAAACUAAAAAACCCACAAGAAACCUCUCUAGUCUCUGUUGCUAUUUAAGAAUAAAUAGCAUUAACUUCAAUAGAAACGACAUCGUCAUCUUCAUCUAGUCAAACAGAGAGAAGAGGAAUAGCUGGAGCUCAAUUUGUGGAAGAUGUACCAACUUAUCUCUCUCAACUGGGUCUCGAUGUGAACUCUGCUCUUGCCUUUCUCCAAGAAAGACUUCAGCAAUAUAAGUUGGUUGAGAUGAAACUUCUGGCUCAACAAAGGGACCAUCAGGUGAAGAUCCCUGAAUUGAGAAGUGCUUAGAUGUAGUUGCAACUUUACAAGCUAAGAUCAGCACUAGUGAGGAUCUUCUUGCUGAUUUUGAAGUGUCUGAAGGCAUAUAUUCACGUGCACACAUUCGGGUUACUGACUGAGUCUGUUUAUGGCUGGGAGCAAAUGUCAUGUUAGAAUAUUCAUAUGGAGAGGCCACUUCUCUUUUGCAGAAGAAUUUGGAUAAUACUAAAGCAAGUUUAGAAGUUCUUAUUGCCGAUUUGCGAUUCUUGAGGGAUCAAUUACUAUAACUCAGGUAUUGUAGGUGUGUCAAAAUCUUUCUCAUUUCCAAGUGAUGAAUGAAUGAGUCAAGGCGUCGUGCAAAUGCCUGGUGGAGCCCAAAGAGGUCCUAAAACUGCAACAUUUUUUUUCUCACUGGAGAAUCUAUGUACUUAAAUCUUUUUCAGUUUCCUUCCUUUUCGUGGACUAGUUGUAAUUCUUGACUAAUAUACCAUUAGGCAGAUCACUGUUGCCCGUGUUUAUAAUUGGGAUGUUCACCAGCGUAGAGUUCGACAAGCCACCACUGCAGCUAAAGAUUCAUGAAACAAAAAAUCUCUAGCCUCUCUUGUUGCAUAAGUUGGGCAAUUGGCUGGUCGUUGUAUUUUGGGUUGAUUUAGAUUAUACUUUCUUGGUUCUCUUCCCAUCAACACUAAAGUUCCAGAAUUUUUUCAAGGGGGUUUUGUGUUGUGCAGAACUUUAUCAUUUAUCGCUUGUUCAAUUUCUUCUGAUUUAUGUGUAUUUUUAUUCACGGUUACUUUGACAUGGACUUCUUCUUGGUGGGGUAACAUGAAGUUUAAAUUUCAAAGUUGUAAGAUUCUGAAAUCUUGGGCUAGUGGAAGACAUGUUGGGACCCAAAUAAGCUUCAAUGUGAAGUUAGGUGCUUUGUCUGGCGGAGAUACGGUGGUUGGCCAUGUCGGGCCAAAGCCAGUGUGGCCUGUCAUUACAAUAGGCCGCAUCUUACCAAGAGCCUUUGGAUCACACUUUCGCGGGCUUAGUGGGUUGACUAACAUUUUUGUUAUUUUUAAAUAAGCUGGCUAACAGUUUUUACUCUCUUGCACGGCCCGUAAUUUGGCCUGAGUGGUGUCAGUGCUGUCAACAAAAGGCCGUUUAGGUCAUGUCGCGGGUCAGUCUGACUUUUGUAUGUCUAAUUUGGUCUGGUCGAGGGCUAAUGUUUAAGUCAAGUCAAUGACGCUUGUCGUUAAUCCUUACCAAUUUAUCUUCCCUCUGUUGACCAGAAUAGACCCAAUUUAUUAAAUGGCGUUCCCAAAUCUGUGUCAUGUAGCUUAGACAUUUUGGUUAGUCAAAUACAAACAUCUUCCUUUCUUCA